RNAcentral lists this ribosomal RNA (545 nucleotides) under Olividae sp. MNHN IM 2007-31975. RNAcentral's name for it is "partial 16S ribosomal RNA". It matches the Rfam family "Bacterial large subunit ribosomal RNA", at positions 1798 to 2613 of the family's 2925-position model. Lineage: Eukaryota; Metazoa; Mollusca; Gastropoda; Neogastropoda; Olividae. The record is from RNAcentral.
GCCUGUUUAUCAAAAACAUCGCUCCUCGUAAUAUAUAAUUGGGGAGUCGGACCUGCCCAGUGAAAAUUUUUAACGGCCGCGGUACUCUGACCGUGCAAAGGUAGCAUAAUCAUUUGCCUUAUAAUUGAAGGCUAGUAUGAAUGGUUUGACGAGAAUAUAACUGUCUCUUCCUAAUUAACUAGAAAUUUAUGUUUAGGUGAAGAAGCCUAAAUGUAAUUAAAAGACAAGAAGACCCUAUCGAGCUUGAAACAAAUUAAUGGGCCGAUAACAAUAACUGAUAAAAGUUUUACCUAUUAAAUAUUUUGGUUGGGGCGACUAAGGAACAAACGAAGCUUCCUUAUAUAAAAAUGAGUUAACUAACAAUGAUCCAAAAAAUUUUGAUUAAUGAAAUUAGUUACCGUAGGGAUAACAGCAUUAUCUUUUUUGAGAGCUCUAAUCGAAAAAAAGGUUUGUGACCUCGAUGUUGGACCAGAAUAUCCCAAAGGUGUAGCAGCCUUUAAAGGUUGGUCUGUUCGACCAUUAAAAUUCUACGUGAUCUGAGUUCA